Molecule: transfer RNA, 58 nt
Filed under: Manacus vitellinus (golden-collared manakin)
Lineage: Eukaryota; Metazoa; Chordata; Aves; Passeriformes; Pipridae
Rfam family: tRNA
About the family: Transfer RNA (tRNA) molecules are approximately 80 nucleotides in length. Their secondary structure includes four short double-helical elements and three loops (D, anti-codon, and T loops).
Source: Rfam by way of RNAcentral
AGCUCAGCUGGUCAGAGCAUGGUGCUAAUAAAGCCAAGGGUGCAGGUUCAAGCCCUGC